AGAGUUUGAUCAUGGCUCAGGACGAACGCUGGCGGCAUGCCUAACACAUGCAAGUCGAACGGAGUUGAGAGAGCUUGCUUUUUCAACUUAGUGGCGGACGGGUGAGUAACGCGUGAGCAACCUGCCUUUCAGUGGGGAAUAACGUUUUGAAAAGGACGCUAAUACCGCAUAACGUAUAGUUAUCGCAUGGUAAUUAUACCAAAGGAGAAAUUCGCUGAAAGAUGGGCUCGCGUCCGAUUAGCCGGUUGGCGGGGUAACGGCCCACCAAAGCAACGAUCGGUAGCCGGACUGAGAGGUUGAACGGCCACAUUGGGACUGAGACACGGCCCAGACUCCUACGGGAGGCAGCAGUGGGGGAUAUUGCGCAAUGGGGGAAACCCUGACGCAGCAAUGCCGCGUGAAGGAUGAAGGUCUUCGGAUUGUAAACUUCUUUUAGCGGGGACGAACAUGACGGUACCCGAAGAAUAAGCUCCGGCUAACUACGUGCCAGCAGCCGCGGUAAUACGUAGGGAGCAAGCGUUGUCCGGAUUUACUGGGUGUAAAGGGUGCGUAGGCGGUCAGGCAAGUCAGUCGUGAAAACUGUGGGCUCAACCCACAGCCUGCGAUUGAAACUGUUUGACUUGAGUGAAGUAGAGGCAGGCGGAAUUCCCGGUGUAGCGGUGAAAUGCGUAGAGAUCGGGAGGAACACCAGUGGCGAAGGCGGCCUGCUGGGCUUUAACUGACGCUGAGGCACGAAAGCGUGGGUAGCAAACAGGAUUAGAUACCCUGGUAGUCCAUGCUGUAACGAUGAUUACUAGGUG
Molecule: ribosomal RNA, 800 nt
Filed under: uncultured bacterium
Lineage: Bacteria
Description: bacterial SSU rRNA
Rfam family: Bacterial small subunit ribosomal RNA
Source: RNAcentral